GAGAAGCCCUGGACUCAAGCAGGGAGGGGCUCUCCUACUGAAUCACCAGCAACACCUGUGUUUUGCUUGGGAGGUCUCCCGCGCAGGGACUAGCCAAGCCUGACCCUGUUUGGCUUCCUGGAGCUUGACUCUGCUGGGCACCACUGUGCUGUGGACCCCACUCAGCCUAGAACUGCAGCCGCUGGUUCUUCUCUCCUCUGGCUGGGAGCGCCCCCCGGGGCGUCUUGUCCCCAUACUUCUGCAUCUCCUGCUCCUGCGGCAGGGGGAAGACACGCUGGGUGUCACCAUCCAGGGCACGGCCACCAAAUACAGCACAUGGAUCAACUCUCUGAGAUGGUCCCCAUUUGCCUCUGAAGAUUGCCACGCUUUCCCUUCCUUUGAUCAGAUUUCCCAUAUAGGUGGGCAGCUGCAGACAGCUGUGGAAGUACAGGAGCUUGGCUGUGCAGUGGGGCUGGAAUUUGGAAAAACUCAUCGGGGC
Molecule: long non-coding RNA, 478 nt
Organism: Rhinolophus ferrumequinum (greater horseshoe bat)
Lineage: Eukaryota; Metazoa; Chordata; Mammalia; Chiroptera; Rhinolophidae
Exons: 4
Source: RefSeq, a predicted model, not a curated record